ACAAAUCAGUGACAGAUUUGG
This 21-nucleotide non-coding RNA is filed under the name Arabidopsis thaliana (thale cress). The record is from RNAcentral. Lineage: Eukaryota; Viridiplantae; Streptophyta; Magnoliopsida; Brassicales; Brassicaceae.